AGAAAAGUCAACACAGCUCAGAGAUUGACAGUGACUGCUCUGCUUUUGUGAUACCAGCGACAGAACUCUGCAAACAUCUCUGCUUCGCAGCUGGCAUCCUGUUGGAUUUUUCCAGUAGAGGGAAGCUUCCAUGCUGCAGGAAGAAGGGGCGUGCUCCUUCCCGUUCCUGUCAGCACUGCUGCAGCAGUUUGCUCUCACAGCUGCAUGUGAUCCCAGUUGCCAUUUCUGACCUGCUCAGAACCAGCUUCAUGAUGGGCUCAAAGACCCAGGACCAGGUGCUCUUUUGACUUCUCUGACUUCAGUCCUUCUGGAGUCAGAUCACCCAGCUUCUCUGAUGAGUGACUGGUCAUUUUUAAAGCAUGCCUGCAGCAGUCUUCAAGAGGUUUCUGCCUGGGCAUCACGAUCAGCAUACAUUUGCUCAUACACAUACCAGCUCUGGCAUGUACACGUGGCCACGGUACCCUUCGUACAACACGGGAAGAGAACAACAGGACGCCCAAGAGGCAUCUGGACAGCACACAGCA
RNAcentral lists this non-coding RNA (524 nucleotides) under Pan troglodytes (chimpanzee). Lineage: Eukaryota; Metazoa; Chordata; Mammalia; Primates; Hominidae. The record is from RNAcentral.